RNA transcript from Hippoglossus stenolepis (Pacific halibut), 2849 nucleotides. It is a transcript of the gene named upstream binding transcription factor, like, with no coding region annotated. The record is from RefSeq and is a predicted model, not a curated record. The transcript has 20 exons. NCBI's taxonomy places the organism in Eukaryota, Metazoa, Chordata, Actinopteri, Pleuronectiformes, Pleuronectidae.
GAUGUAUUGAUUGAUCGGUGAUUGGCUCUGUCCCUCCCCGGCUGUGUGGGAGGGGACCGCUGACUGGGAGCUCAGACCCGGCAGACGGUGCGCUGUCAGCGGGAGGGCCGUCAUGUGGAUGCGGCCCCUCUGUCGCCUCCGAGCCGCUGAUCAGCAGCCACAGGCCGGGGAGGGAGAGCGCAGCAGCUGGGACACUUUGGUUCUUCCUCUCGGGGCCUGGGGCCUGGAGCCGCCCCCCCCCCCGGGCCCCGGUCGCACCUGUUCGGUCCCCGGGCCCCGGUGCUGAGUGUGAGCGGCGGUGGAGCAUCUGGAGCCGGACUGUUAAAUGUGUGUGGAGCUGCUGAUGUUUGGAAUAAAAGCUGUUUGGUGUUUGUGAGUCUGCCCCGGCUCCGGCCCCGGCUCUUAGCCGCUGUCUCUGGUUUCAUCCUCCGCCUUUGUCCUCAUGUUUUCCCCCGGAGUUCCUCCCCCUGCGGCGCUGGGCGGAGUUUCAUACCGGACUAGACGCUCCUUUUGUCGGAUUCGUUUCGACCUGACUCCCCGGGGUUUACGGCUGAAAAAUACACACUUUGAAAGUCCUGAAAUAAUCCUAACGAGCACCGUGGUGUGCAGCGUGAACCCGGGUUUCUGUCUGAACCGGAAGGAGGGAGGAGCCUGCUGCAUGAUGAACGGCAGCAGCAGCAGCGUAUCUGCGUCUCAGAGCUCCAGGGUCAAAAGUGAACAAGGUGCAGGUGCAGAUGACUGGAGUAAGGAGGACUGUCUCACUCUGCUGGAGAGGAUCCGCAGUCUGCUGCCGGACGUAGACUCCAUGAAGUAUAAAACCACAGAGUCGCACUUUGACUGGGAGAAAGUUUGUUUCGGCAGCUUCACCGGAGACAUGUGUCGCCAGAAGUGGCAGAAAGUGUCGACUGAGGUUCGUAAGUACAGGACGAUGACAGAGCUCAUCGUGGACGCCAUCGAGUUUGUGAAGAAUCCGUACAAAGGAAAGAAACUGAAGACUCACCCAGAUUUCCCUAAAAAACCUCUGACUCCCUACUUUCGCUUCUUCAUGGAGAAACGAGCAAAAUAUGCAAAAAUCCACCCGGAGAUGAGCAACUUGGAUCUCACCAAGAUUCUCUCCAAGAAAUACAAAGAGCUGCCCGACAAGAAGAAGCAAAAAUACAUCACAGAGUUUCAACGAGAGAAAGAAGAGUUUGAGAAGAACAUGGCUCGAUUCAAGGAGGAGCAUCCGGAGCUGAUGGAGGAGAGGAAGAAGUCCGAUCUGCCGGAGAAACCGAAAACUCCACAACAGCUGUGGUACAACCACGAGAAGAAGACGUACAUGAAGCUGCAUCCAGAGGUUAGUCAAAAGGAGCUGAAGGAGGCGCUGAGGAGACAGUGGUCACAGCUCUCCGACAAGAGACGACUGAAGUGGAUCAGCAAGGCCCUGGAGCUGCAGAAGGACUACGAGGACAGUAUGAGAGCAUAUCAUGAAGCUCAUCCAGAUGUGAACUCAGAUGAUCACGUUCGUUCCGUCCUCACCAAAGCAGAGCGACAACUGAAGGACAAGUUCGAUGGAAGACCGACAAAACCACCACCUAAUGGCUACUCUCUGUACUGUGCGGAGCUGAUGGUGAACAUGAAGGAUGUCCCCAGCACCGAGCGCAUGGUUCUCUGCAGUAAACAGUGGAAAAUUAUGACGCAAAAAGAGAAAGAUAUGUUCCAGAAACGCUGCGAGCAGAAAAAGAAGCAGUACGACGUCGACCUGAAGAGGUUUCUGGAGAGUCUGCCAGAAGAGGAACGAGACCGUGUCCUAACAGAGGAGAAACUGGGCGGGGGCAGAUUGAGUGUGGGUGUGGCUUCCAGCCCUCGCCGAGCCAAGUCUCCAUCUCUCAAGGGUCGGUGUCGGGAGGUGGAGCCAGAAUCAUGGGUACCUGCCAGACCGCCAAAAGAAAGACGGGACGGGAAGAAGACGGCGAAGCUUCCAGAGACACCAAAAACAGCGGAAGAAAUGUGGCAGCACAGCGUGAUCGGAGAUUAUUUAGCAAAAUACAGAAGCGACCGCAGGAAGGCGCAGGCGGCGAUGGAGGCAACUUGGAAGUCGAUGGAGAAGAAGGAGAAAAUUCCGUGGAUCAAGAGGGCGGCGGAGGACCAGAAGCGUUAUGAGGUUCAGUACCAACAUGUGAGGGAGCUGUUGGAGAUGAGGGCUCCAGCCGCAGGUCCGACUCAGAGGAAACCCAAGUUUGACGGAGAACCAAAGAAACCUCCAGUGAGCGGGUAUCAGAUGUUCUCCCAGGAGCUGCUGACCAAUGGCGAGCUGAACCACUUCAGUCUGAAGGAGCGGAUGGUGGAGAUCGGGAAGCGAUGGCACACACUGAGUCAGAGUCAGAAAGACAAGUACAAGAAGCAGGUGGAGGAGCAGCAGGUGGAGUACAAGGCCGAGCUGGAGGCCUGGGUCCAGUCUCUCUCUCCUCAGGAGCAAGCCGUCUACAAGGAGUUCUCUUCCUCUGUGAGUUUUUCUUCACCUGCAGGGGGCAAGUUGCUACAAGUCGAGUUUAUAAUUAAAGCAAACACGACUCUUGGAUAACAUAUUAGGAAACGUCGCAGCACCACUAAAGCGCGCAGCAGCCCCGGAGCUAAAGUCCAUGUGAUGGCGAAAGGGAAGGCGGUCGGUUCAAGAGCCGCAACACCGGGGGUCAGCGUGGGCAAGAGGGCCAUGGCGUACCGAGCUAAGGACAUGUCCGACACCGACGACGAGGAGGAGAAAAGUUCGUCUGACUCCGAUGAAGACGACGAGACGUCAGGAACCACGGACAGCGACGAUGAGAAUGACGACGAUGAAGAUCAAACGUCCUCGGAGGAAUCCAGUGACU